CGAAGAUCAGCUUGGCCGGAAGACAGGGU
This 29-nucleotide non-coding RNA is filed under the name Cricetulus griseus (Chinese hamster). The record is from RNAcentral. Lineage: Eukaryota; Metazoa; Chordata; Mammalia; Rodentia; Cricetidae.